Molecule: ribosomal RNA, 497 nt
Filed under: uncultured bacterium
Lineage: Bacteria
Description: partial 16S ribosomal RNA
Rfam family: Bacterial small subunit ribosomal RNA
Source: RNAcentral
GACGAACGCUGGCGGCGUGCCUAAUACAUGCAAGUAGAACGCUGAAGAGAGGAGCUUGCUCUUCUUGGAUGAGUUGCGAACGGGUGAGUAACGCGUAGGUAACCUGCCUUGUAGCGGGGGAUAACUAUUAGAAACGAUAGCUAAUACCGCAUAACAAUGGAUGACACAUGUCAUUUAUUUGAAAGGGGCAAUUGCUCCACUACAAGAUGGACCUGCGUUGUAUUAGCUAGUAGGUGAGGUAAUGGCUCACCUAGGCGACGAUACAUAGCCGACCUGAGAGGGUGAUCGGCCACACUGGGACUGGGACACGGCCCAGGCUCCUACGGGAGGCAGCAGUAGGGAAUCUUCGGCAAUGGGGGCAACCCUGACCGAGCAACGCCGCGUGAGUGAAGAAGGUUUUCGGAUCGUAAAGCUCUGUUGUAAGUCAAGAACGGGUGUGAGAGUGGAAAGUUCACACUGUGACGGUAGCUUACCAGAAAGGGACGGCUAACUACGUG